RNAcentral lists this ribosomal RNA (916 nucleotides) under uncultured bacterium. Its description in RNAcentral is "bacterial SSU rRNA". It matches the Rfam family "Bacterial small subunit ribosomal RNA", at positions 246 to 1155 of the family's 1533-position model. The record is from RNAcentral.
UUGUUGGUAAGGUAAAAGCUUACCAAGGCUUCGAUCAGUAGCUGGUCUGAGAGGACGACCAGCCACACUGGGACUGAGACACGGCCCAGACUCCUACGGGAGGCAGCAGUGGGGAAUUUUGGACAAUGGGGGCAACCCUGAUCCAGCCAUGCCGCGUGAGUGAAGAAGGCCUUCGGGUUGUAAAGCUCUUUCAGCCGGAACGAAACGGUUACGGUCAAUACCCGUGACUACUGACGGUACCGGAAGAAGAAGCACCGGCUAACUACGUGCCAGCAGCCGCGGUAAUACGUAGGGUGCAAGCGUUAAUCGGAAUUACUGGGCGUAAAGCGUGCGCAGGUGGUUUUGUAAGUCAGAUGUGAAAUCCCCGGGCUUAACCUGGGAACUGCGUUUGAAACUACAAGGCUAGAGUGUGGCAGAGGGGGGUGGAAUUCCGCGUGUAGCAGUGAAAUGCGUAGAUAUGUGGAGGAACACCGAUGGCGAAGGCAGCCCCCUGGGUCAACACUGACGCUCAGGCACGAAAGCAUGGGGAGCAAACAGGAUUAGAUACCCUGGUAGUCCAUGCCCUAAACGAUGUCAACUAGUUGUCGGGCCUUAACGGGCUUGGUAACGUAGCUAACGCGUGAAGUUGACCGCCUGGGGAGUACGAUCGCAAGAUUAAAACUCAAAGGAAUUGACGGGGACCCGCACAAGCGGUGGAUUAUGUGGAUUAAUUCGAUGCAACGCGAAAAACCUUACCUACCCUUGACAUGUAUCGAAGCCCGCAGAGAAGCGGGUGUGCCCGAAAGGGAACGAUAACACAGGUGCUGCAUGGCUGUCGUCAGCUCGUGUCGUGAGAUGCUGGGUUAAGUCCCGCAACGAGCGCAACCCUUGUCAUUAAUUGCCAUCAUUUAGUUGGGCACUUUAAUGAGACUGCCGG